UGACUUUGUCAACCUAUCUUUGUCCCACUUGACCUGACGAGGGGUCUUCCCCACCCCACCCGUUCGUGCUGCAACAGAGCUGCAAUGAGGCUGGCUUUCCUGGAGAGAAAACAGGGAGGAGAGAGGCUGGUAUCAAAACUGUACUGCUUCUGUCCAAUGGUUGGUGUGAG
Long non-coding RNA from Suricata suricatta (meerkat), 170 nucleotides. RefSeq lists it as uncharacterized. Lineage: Eukaryota; Metazoa; Chordata; Mammalia; Carnivora; Herpestidae. The record is from RefSeq and is a predicted model, not a curated record. The transcript has 3 exons.